Paramuricea clavata is the source of this 1031-nucleotide non-coding RNA. The record is from the annotation of a GenBank genome assembly. NCBI's taxonomy places the organism in Eukaryota, Metazoa, Cnidaria, Anthozoa, Malacalcyonacea, Plexauridae.
AUCACAGCACGGGCUUGGUGCAGCAUGAUGAUGGCCCUAUCGCAUUUGCCUCUCGAGCCAUGAAUGAUACGCUCAGAUCGAGAGAGAGCUACUCAUGAUGGCUAUUGUGUUUGGCUGUAAACGGGUUACGGUUCCACCAAUUUGUUUAUGGCAAGACAAUCACCGUGGAAACCAAUCAUAAACCGCUGGAGCCAAGCAGACUUCAGAAGAUGCUCAUGCAAAUCCAAGAGUAUGAUAUCUAUCUCGUGUGUGAAAAGGCUGCAAAAUGUACCUCACUGAUGCGCUUUCGAGCGCAUUUCCCCCCGAAAUCGUUCACGAACAGUUCGAAGCAGACAUAUAGACUCGAAAGGUUUCGUUCAUUCAAUGUCUACCGAGUCCUAUAUUACAGAUAAAGAAAUUACAAGCCAUUCGCUCGGAAGUAUCUGCUGACCACACGAUGAAAUUACUCUAACAGAAAAUCCAAACCUGCUGGCUAGAGAUCCGCCAGAACACAGAUGUCUCGUUCUGCAAGAUAUUCGUACAUAUGGUUAAGAUCGACACGAAUUGACAAUGCAAGAUGGGCUAAUUUUAGUAGUUUAUAAAGCUCACAACAUAUUAAUUAGAGACACGCUUACCAAGUUGCAUCAUUCGCAUCAAGGUAUAAAGGAAAUGAAACGUCUAGCUCAAGAAAGUAUAUAUUGGCUGGUAUGAACGCUGAAAUUGAUAACGUGGUGUUCAGCUGUGAGACAUGUCAAACUAACAGCAACGCUAAUACACGCGAGAGACAACAAUCUCAUCCCGUUCCCAGUCGACCAUGGCAACAAAUUGGAACAGAUUUGUUUCAGUGAAAAGGUAGACCUUAUCUGAUUACCGUGGAUUACUACAGCCGUUAUCCCGAAUAAGCUGAACUCAGAGACAUCAAAGCUCAAACAAUUAUCGCGAAAACUAAAUGUAUCUUCAGUCGUUAUGGUAUUGCAGACAACGUUAUGUAUAGGUUAUAACCUAUAGGCUAUACUUAUUUUUCACAUUGCGAGGUCGCGUUAAUGAUCUCG